AGCUCCCUUUGUGGGCUAGGUUCUUGAUUUGUGUUUAAUUUGGGAGUUAUGGAAUAAUUAGCUAAUCAAUUAGUCAAUUAAUAGAAUAUUUUCCUAAUUGAUUAGCUAAUAAAAGGGGAAAAUGAGGUAUAAAUUACAAGGCAUGGUUGGGCCCUUGAGAGAGAAGGUGAUCGGCCUUAUGUGUGUUUUUUGGGAGUAAUUGGUGGUUUAAUUGGCUAUUAAUAGAUUAAUUAGGUAAUAAAUCUAUUAAUUAGCCAAUUAACAUAAUUUAAAAAUAAAUGUUUUGGGAGUUACCUUGUAGAAAGGAUUUGAUGAGGAUGGAUGAAAUAGGCUUUGAAUUGUUAACUAUUUUGGGCACUUUUGACUUGGUUGAAAAAUGUUGCCCGCUGCUCGUGCGUAGGAACUCCGAUGUGCCGUAAGGGUAUUCUUGUCCUUUUUUAUCCAAAGAUCCACGUGUCGCCUUGUGAUUAUUUUUGGCUCCACAAAUGCUCCCACAGCUGUUGGCCUGCUUGCAAAAAAGGGCAACAUGUGUAAAGAUUUGCCUGCUUUAGGAAACUUUGGACUGCUUCCUAUUUUGAUGUAGAUUCCCUCUUUAAUAGGAAAUUAGAUCUUUCUAGGAAAGGGAAAUAAAUUUCUCUCAAAGCCUAUUUAAGUCCACCUUAAGUGAGUUAUUAAAUCAACUUUGGAGAGCGAUUUAUUCUACCGUACAAGAGAGAGAGCUUAGAGGAUAUUUGUUCCCCCUCCUCUAGCAAUCUUCUACAUCUUGCCCAUGCAAAGGACUGUCCUUCGUUGCUUUCUUCAUCUUUUCUGUGCCGCACCGAUGUAAGAAAAAUUAAUUUUUUCUUGUCUUCUUCUUGGAUAGUGUUGUCGUGGGGUAGCCGUCGGGGUGGUGCGGCACGUUGGCUGGUAGAGGCCAAGAGUCGUCCUAUCAUGGGCCAAUAAGGUGUUGUGGCAGGGACCACUACUUGGGCUACUUGGCUUGGUUAGAGCCAAAGGCAGCUUGCACAGCUGAGGCCACAAAUUGAGGCGCUGGGGUGCAGUGCUAGGCGAGUUGCAUGGUUCAGGUCCUUUGGGCUUUUCGUCCUAACGCGGGCUAGGCCAGCGAUUGAGAGAAAUGAAAAAGUCGUGGGCCUCUUGGGCUGCUAGAAUACUGGGCAUGCUGGCCUUCUGCCUGCUG
Molecule: long non-coding RNA, 1177 nt
Filed under: Malus domestica (apple)
Lineage: Eukaryota; Viridiplantae; Streptophyta; Magnoliopsida; Rosales; Rosaceae
Description: long non-coding RNA (MDOM_LNC013550)
Source: RNAcentral